GACGAACGCUGGCGGCGUGCCUAAUACAUGCAAGUUGAGCGCUGAAGGUUGGUACUUGUCCCCACUGGAUGAGCAGCGAACGGGUGAGUAACGCGUGGGGAAUCCGCCUUUGAGCGGGGGACAACAUUUGGAAACGAAUGCUAAUACCGCAUAAAAACUUUAAACACAAGUUUUAAGUUUGAAAGAUGCAAUUGCAUCACUCAAAGAUGAUCCCGCGUUGUAUUAGCUAGUUGGUGAGGUAAAGGCUCACCAAGGCGAUGAUACAUAGCCGACCUGAGAGGGUGAUCGGCCACAUUGGGACUGAGACACGGCCCAAACUCCUACGGGAGGCAGCAGUAGGGAAUCUUCGGCAAUGGACGAAAGUCUGACCGAGCAACGCCGCGUGAGUGAAGAAGGUUUUCGGAUCGUAAAACUCUGUUGGUAGAGAAGAACGUUGGUGAGAGUGGAAAGCUCAUCAAGUGACGGUAACUACCCAGAAAGGGACGGCUAACUACGUG
RNAcentral lists this ribosomal RNA (497 nucleotides) under uncultured bacterium. Its description in RNAcentral is "partial 16S ribosomal RNA". It matches the Rfam family "Bacterial small subunit ribosomal RNA", at positions 28 to 507 of the family's 1533-position model. The record is from RNAcentral.